UCCCUCUUAGCUCAGUGGUAGAGCGCGUCACUUGUACCUGACCUUUCGGUCACAAACUCAAAUGACGAGGUCAGUCGUUCAAUCCGGCUAGCGGGAA
Non-coding RNA from Termitomyces sp. T32_za158, 97 nucleotides. The record is from the annotation of a GenBank genome assembly. Lineage: Eukaryota; Fungi; Basidiomycota; Agaricomycetes; Agaricales; Lyophyllaceae.